RNAcentral lists this transfer RNA (87 nucleotides) under Planctomycetaceae bacterium. Its description in RNAcentral is "tRNA-Ser". It matches the Rfam family "tRNA". From Rfam's summary of the family: Transfer RNA (tRNA) molecules are approximately 80 nucleotides in length. Their secondary structure includes four short double-helical elements and three loops (D, anti-codon, and T loops). The record is from RNAcentral. Lineage: Bacteria; Pseudomonadati; Planctomycetota; Planctomycetia; Planctomycetales; Planctomycetaceae.
GGAAGGUAACCGAAUUGGCUUAGGAGACUGGUUGCUAACCAGUUGCCCUGGAAACGGGGUUGGCGGGUUCGAUUCCCCCACUUUCCG